GGAAUAUUGGACAAUGGGCGAAAGCCUGAUCCAGCCAUGCCGCGUGUGUGAAGAAGGCUUUCGGGUUGUAAAGCACUUUCAGUGAGGAAGAAGGCCUUGGGGCUAAUACCCCCGAGGAAGGACAUCACUCACAGAAGAAGCACCGGCUAACUCCGUG
Molecule: ribosomal RNA, 157 nt
Filed under: uncultured bacterium
Lineage: Bacteria
Description: partial 16S ribosomal RNA
Rfam family: Bacterial small subunit ribosomal RNA
Source: RNAcentral